Molecule: unclassified non-coding RNA, 294 nt
Filed under: fungal sp.
Lineage: Eukaryota; Fungi
Description: partial internal transcribed spacer region
Rfam family: Eukaryotic small subunit ribosomal RNA (bases 1-46)
Source: RNAcentral
AAGUCGUAACAAGGUUUCCGUAGGUGAACCUGCGGAAGGAUCAUUAAUGAAUGAUAAUUUUUUGGGGUUUUCCCUGAAAAAUAAUUCACCAUUUGUGCACUGUUUUUAGAUAUACUUUGGUUAGAGCUUUGAUUUCAUUUUUUUUGAAGUCAACUUCUUGCUAACUCUAUCCUUUCUGAGGACAGUUGGCUAUGAAGCGGCCUACCAAGGUUUUUUAUCAAACUCUUGUAUUUUGUCUGACCUAAAAUAUCAAUAAUUAAAUCAUAACUUUCAACAACGGAUCUCUUGGCUCUC